UUUCCGUAGGUGAACCUGCGGAAGGAUCAUUAACGAGUUAGGGUCUUUUAGGCCCGACCUCCCAACCCUAUGUUUAUUGAACCUCUGUUGCUUCGGCGGACCCGUCUCACGGCCGCCGGAGGACCGCUGCGAGGCGUCCUCUGGCCAGCGUCCGCCGAUGGCCAACCCACUAAACUCUGAAUGAAUCGUGUCAUAUGUCUAAGUCUAUGAUUAGAUUAAAGCAAAACUUUCAACAACGGAUCUCUUGGUUCUG
This 253-nucleotide unclassified non-coding RNA is filed under the name plant metagenome. RNAcentral describes it as "partial contains small subunit ribosomal RNA, internal transcribed spacer 1, and 5.8S ribosomal RNA". The record is from RNAcentral.